GGUAACGUGGGGCGAGAGGGGGGGGUGAUAGGAUGGUUGCAGGGUGUAAGUGGAGUUACUGGGCGUAAAUGGUGCGUAGGCGGUUCUUUAAGUCUGUCGGGAAGUCCCCGGGCUCAACCUGGGAAUGGCGAUGGAUACUGGCGAGCUAGAGUGUGUCAGAGGAUGGUGGAAUUCCCGGUGUAGCGGUGAAAUGCGUAGAGAUCGGGAGGAACAUCAGUGGCGAAGGCGGCCAUCUGGGACAACACUGACGCUGAAGCACGAAAGCGUGGGGAGCAAACAGGAUUAGAUACCCCAGUAGUC
This 300-nucleotide ribosomal RNA is filed under the name uncultured Enterococcus sp. RNAcentral's name for it is "bacterial SSU rRNA". The stretch from base 52 to 300 matches the Rfam family "Bacterial small subunit ribosomal RNA", at positions 547 to 795 of the family's 1533-position model. Lineage: Bacteria; Bacillati; Bacillota; Bacilli; Lactobacillales; Enterococcaceae. The record is from RNAcentral.